AACGAUGCCCGGUUCUACCGCACGUCCCCAUCGAGGAAGUGCCAUCCGGAUUCCGCACAUAAGUGCAGAAUCGCUCACGGUGACAUGAAAUCGGUGGAGAGCCGCUCACAUGGUAGAGCCAGAACAUGAGUAACCUACUUCGUUAUCAAAGGGUGAGCGGCGGCGCGCUAGAGUUCCGGGGACGGAACGAGCGGGGACGGCCCCAAGGAGCAUU
This is a regulatory RNA element of Rothia mucilaginosa DY-18, 214 nucleotides long. It matches the Rfam family "lysM-Actino RNA". The record is from Rfam. NCBI's taxonomy places the organism in Bacteria, Bacillati, Actinomycetota, Actinomycetes, Micrococcales, Micrococcaceae.